Molecule: ribosomal RNA, 253 nt
Filed under: uncultured bacterium
Lineage: Bacteria
Description: partial 16S ribosomal RNA
Rfam family: Bacterial small subunit ribosomal RNA
Source: RNAcentral
UACGAAGGGGGCUAGCGUUGUUCGGAAUUACUGGGCGUAAAGGGCGCGUAGGCGGUCCUGAUCGUCGGAUGUGAAAGGCCUGGGCUCAACCUGGGAACUGCAUCCGAUACGGCGGGACUGGAGUGUGGGAGAGGUUGGUGGAAUUCCCAGUGUAGAGGUGAAAUUCGUAGAUAUUGGGAAGAACACCGGUGGCGAAGGCGGCGACCUGGUCCGUGACUGACGCUGAGGCGCGAAAGCGUGGGGAGCAAACAGG